AUGGCACAACUUAGAGAAACUCCUACCCAGUUUCCCCUCCCACACAAGCUUCACUCUCCUCCAGAUGGCAUGAAUCAUUUCCGCUGCUUCCCAGCUGAAGGUGGAAGAGGCUGUACCCAUGCAGCUGUUACCCAGAGGCAUACCUGGAUAUUGCUUCAUCAGGAUGAAAGCAAAUCAUUAGGUUCACUCCAAGAUAGGAAGAUGAGAACCAGUGCCAUGAAGAACUUGCUGAGAAAGAAGACAUUACCUUGAACUCGGCUGAAAUCCAAGUUCAUGAUAAUACCCCUUUUCUUUAUCCUAUACAAUCUCAAGAAUAAAAAAUACAUAUGACAGCAUUUAUCUGGGAAUCCAACAUUAAUUUGAACUAUUUUCCUCAUCACUUUUAAAGUCUUUGUAUAGUUGUCAAAAUACUCAGAUAUAUUAUAAAAUACCCAGAAGGUCUCCAAAAAGAACUCCUCAAUCAGCCCUACAGGGUUGUCUGUAUAGCGCAGCCUGCAAAGUCUUCAGCUGUGCUCUGACCAGGUGGAACUAUCCUGACAAGGCACACCAGACCAUGCCCAAGUACGGACUACUGUGAAUGGGUGCAAAGAAGAGGCAAUAUGAGAAACUUUCCUGGCCUCUCACUGCUUUGAGAGCUGGAAUGUUUAAGAACAUAGAUGAAAGAGUCUAAUGUCUGGUAUUUAUCUAGCAGCCUGUACCAUGUUCCCAAGAAGAAGGUACUUACUUCAAGAGCUCAUCUUCAGAGAGCACGAGCCUCUGAUUCUGACUCACCAGAAUGUGGUGUGAGGCAGUCAACCUUACACUCAU
RNAcentral lists this long non-coding RNA (807 nucleotides) under Chinchilla lanigera (long-tailed chinchilla). RNAcentral describes it as "lncRNA (ENSCLAG00000024602.1)". Lineage: Eukaryota; Metazoa; Chordata; Mammalia; Rodentia; Chinchillidae. The record is from RNAcentral.